Molecule: ribosomal RNA, 459 nt
Filed under: uncultured bacterium
Lineage: Bacteria
Description: partial 16S ribosomal RNA
Rfam family: Bacterial small subunit ribosomal RNA
Source: RNAcentral
CCUACGGGGGGCAGCAGUGAGGAAUAUUGGUCAAUGGACGAGAGUCUGAACCAGCCAAGUAGCGUGAAGGAUGACUGCCCUAUGGGUUGUAAACUUCUUUUAUAAAGGAAUAAAACGAGGCACGUGUGCCUUUUUGCAUGUACUUUAUGAAUAAGGAUCGGCUAACUCCGUGCCAGCAGCCGCGGUAAUACGGAGGAUCCGAGCGUUACCCGGAUUUAUUUGGUUAAAGGGGAGCGUAGAUGGGUUGUUAAGUCAGUUGUGAAAGUUUGCGGCUCAACCGUAAAAUUGCAAUUGAUACUGGGAGUCUUGAGGAAAGUUGAGGUAGGCGGAAUUCGUGGUGUAGCGGUGAAAUGCUUAGAUAUCACGAAGAACCCCGAUUGCGAAGGCAGCUGACUAAACGGGGACUGACAUUGAUGCUGAAAGUGUGGGUAUCAAACAGGAUUAGAUACCCCGGUAGUC